GAGCACGUAGGUGGGUUUGUAAGUCAGACGUGAAAGCCUUCUGUUCAACGGAAGAAUUGCAUCUGAAACUACAAACCUUGAGUGUAGGAGGGGAGAAUGGAACUUCUGGUGGAGCGGUGAAAUGCGUAGAUAUCAGAAGGAACGCCGGCGGCGAAAGCGAUUCUCUGGCCUAUUACUGACACUCAGUGUGCGAAAGCUAGGGGAGCAAACGGGAUUAGAUACCCCGGUAGUCCUAGCCGUAAACGAUGGGCACUAAGUAGAGGGAAUUACCGAUGUUCUCUCUGCCGUAGCUAACGCAUUAAGUGCCCCGCCUGGGGAGUACGGCCGCAAGGCUAAAACUCAAAAGAAUUGACGGGGGCUCGCACAAGCGGUGGAGCAUGUGGCUUAAUUCGAUGCAACGCGAAAAACCUUACCGGGGCUUGACAUGGUAGAAGUAGGAACCCGAAAGGGUAACGAACGGUAUCCAGUCCGUGACUAUCACAGGUGUUGCAUGGCUGUCGUCAGCUCGUGUCGUGAGACGUUGGGUUAAGUCCCCUAACGAGCGAAACCCUUGUUUUUAGUUGCCAGCGGGUUGUGCCGGGCACUCUAGAAAGACUGCCGUCGUCAAGACAGAGGAAGGUGGGGAUGACGUCAAGUCAUCAUGGCCCUUAUGCCCCGGGCUGCACACGUGCUACAAUGGCCGGUACAAACGGAAGCGAAGCCGAGAGGUGAAGCGAAUCC
This 720-nucleotide ribosomal RNA is filed under the name uncultured Planctomycetota bacterium. RNAcentral's name for it is "bacterial SSU rRNA". It matches the Rfam family "Bacterial small subunit ribosomal RNA", at positions 565 to 1274 of the family's 1533-position model. Lineage: Bacteria; Pseudomonadati; Planctomycetota. The record is from RNAcentral.